Molecule: ribosomal RNA, 274 nt
Filed under: uncultured bacterium
Lineage: Bacteria
Description: partial 16S ribosomal RNA
Rfam family: Bacterial small subunit ribosomal RNA
Source: RNAcentral
AUACGGAGGGUGCAAGCGUUACUCGGAAUCACUGGGCGUAAAGCGCGCGCAGGCGGGCUGAUAAGUUGGAUGUGAAAGCCUACGGCUCAACCGUAGAACUGCAUCCAAAACUGUCAGUCUAGAGUCUGGGAGGGGAAGAUGGAAUUAGUUGUGUAGGGGUAAAAUCCGUAGAGAUAACUAGGAAUACCAAAAGCGAAGGCGAUCUUCUGGAACAGUACUGACGCUGAGGCGCGAAAGCGUGGGGAGCAAACAGGAUUAGAAACCCUGGUAGUCC